AAUUGCACCGGUCGCUUCACUGCUGUCUCCUUUUCCGGCACCAUUGACAGCACUAACCCGGAAUUUGUAUUCUUCACCUGCUUGUAGAUCAGUGACUGUAUAUCUUGUUUUCACACAUGCCUCUGCAUUUACCUUGUGCCAGUCUCCCAAGUCAGCUUUGCACAUUUCAAUAAUAUAUCCAAUUAUUUCCAUGCCUCCAUCAAACACUGGCCUAGACCAUUCUAAGCUCACAGUUGUCUUGGAUGUAUCUGUCACUUUGACCACAGUGGGAGCACUUGGUGGGCUGACUGGCUCUCUACAUUUGAUUAGUCUUGAGAUACCGCUUGCAGGUCCUAUUCCUGCAGCAUUUUCAGCCAUGACAUGGAACUCAUACUCAUUGCCCUCUAUCAGACCAGUGACUUUGUAUCUUGUCUCAGAGAUUGGUCGUUUGCUGAUCACUUUCACCCAUCGUGUGCUCUUCUUUUCUCUCCUUUCGAGGAUAUAAUGUUGAAUUUCGUUGCCACCAUCUGAUUCUGGCCUUGUCCAUGUCAGCGUAAUGCUAUUGCCUGUUACAUUACUAGGUUCUGGAGUGCCAGGAGCAUCGGGAAUAGCUGUGAAAUGAAAACAAAUUAGACAUGUUUGGUUGGAAGUUAAUCUUUUGACAUUAUACCACUUAGUGAAAACAGACACUUACUGUAUUGUAUUUGAGCAACCACUGGGUCAGAAUCAAGUGGCCUCCCAACACCAAACUUGUUGACUGCAGAAACACGGAAUUGGUAUUCAUUGCCACUUAUUAGUUUAGUGGCAGUAUAGCUGUGGGCUUGACAAUUAUCUUCAAUUAGUGCCCAAGCAAGUCUGCUGGUUUCCCGUUUUUCAAUGAUGUAGUGAGUGAUGGGAGCACAGCCAUCAUUGAGAGGAGCAUCCCACCACAGAGUCAUCUUCUCGCCAGUAAUAUUGGUGAAUCUUAUUGGCCCAACUACUUUUCCUGGUGUAUCUAUAAGAAAAAGUUUCCAGAGUUAAUUUAUCCUUCUCUAUUAAAAUGCAACCAGGCAUGUCUCUACCCCAAGACUUGUAAAUGGCAAGAUUAAGAAGCUAUUUCAGAAGUACCUUGUACUUUAACUUUAAUUUCUGCUUUUGUGGAGCCCGAUGCGUUUUUGGCUUCCACACUAUAUACACCACUAUGGUCCCGGGUAGCAUCUCUAACAAAAAGGCUGGUGGAUCCAAGGACAUCAGUUAUUUCCAUAUUCAUCUUCUUUUCAAUUUCUACUCCAUCUCUGAACCAAGUUACUCGAGGUACUGGACGUCCCUGCACCAAAGCUUUAAUUCUAAGGCUCUCUCCAGACUUAAUAAUGAUGCCAUCAAAGUACUCAGGGCCAAACUCUACAGUUGGUGGAACUACAAAAAAAAAAAGAAAUGAUAUGUGUUAGUUUGGCUUAAUAAAAACAUAAAUGUGUUUUUCAUUAGCACCAUCCUAAAGCAUAGAAGGUAAUGUUUAUCCUGUGUUACCAAGGGCUAUUAUGAAAGUAGGAUUGAUAAUUCAGAAUUUAGAUUACGGGGUUGAACAUCUGCAUGCUAUUAGGUUAUCUCCUUUUUAUGUCUGUCAUGUUAUUGAUUUGCAUUGCCACUUCUAAAAAGAGAAGAAACAUUUGUAGAUCGCUUACUUCCUAAUGCUGCUGUAUAGUCAAACAAGUUCCUAUAAGAGGUCAUCAGCUGCACUCAAGCAAAAUGCUGAUUGUACUGCUGGGUGUAUAUUGUAUUUUAGUAACUUUGUAAAGCUUGACAGUUAUUCUCGAG
RNAcentral lists this long non-coding RNA (1773 nucleotides) under Lynx pardinus (Iberian lynx). Lineage: Eukaryota; Metazoa; Chordata; Mammalia; Carnivora; Felidae. The record is from RNAcentral.